This 420-nucleotide ribosomal RNA is filed under the name bacterium enrichment culture clone ALO1_GLFRUDD03G6966. RNAcentral's name for it is "bacterial SSU rRNA". It matches the Rfam family "Bacterial small subunit ribosomal RNA", at positions 9 to 431 of the family's 1533-position model. The record is from RNAcentral.
GAGUUUGAUCGUGGCUCAGAUUGAACGCUGGCGGCAGGCCUAACACAUGCAAGUCGAGCGGAUGACGGGAGCUUGCUCCUUGAUUCAGCGGCGGACGGGUGAGUAAUGCCUAGGAAUCUGCCUGGUAGUGGGGGACAACGUUUCGAAAGGACGCUAAUACCGCAUACGUCCUACGGGAGAAAGCAGGGGACCUUCGGGCCUUGCGCUAUCAGAUGAGCCUAGGUCGGAUUAGCUAGUUGGUGGGGUAAUGGCUCACCCAAGGCGACGAUCCGUAACUGGUCUGAGAGGAUGAUCAGUCACACUGGAACUGAGACACGGUCCAGACUCCUACGGGAGGCAGCAGUGGGGAAUAUUGGACAAUGGGCGAAAGCCUGAUCCAGCCAUGCCGCGUGUGUGAAGAAGGUCUUCGGAUUGUAAAGC